AUUGAACGCUGGCGGCAUGCCUUACACAUGCAAGUCGAACGGCAGCAUGGAAGAGCUUGCUCUUCUGAUGGCGAGUGGCGAACGGGUGAGUAAAGCAUCGGAACGUACCGUGUAGUGGGGGAUAACGUAGCGAAAGUUACGCUAAUACCGCAUACGCACUGAGGUGGAAAGCAGGGGAUCGCAAGACCUUGCGCUAUACGAGCGGCCGAUGUCAGAUUAGCUAGUUGGUAGGGUAAAGGCCUACCAAGGCGACGAUCUGUAGCGGGUCUGAGAGGAUGAUCCGCCACACUGGGACUGAGACACGGCCCAGACUCCUACGGGAGGCAGCAGUGGGGAAUUUUGGACAAUGGGCGAAAGCCUGAUCCAGCCAUGCCGCGUGAGUGAAGAAGGCCUCGGUGUAAGACUCUUCGUCUGGUAGAAGUACGCACAGGCGUAAUACUCUGUGUGGAGUGACGGUACCGAGCACAACGAAGACG
RNAcentral lists this ribosomal RNA (476 nucleotides) under uncultured bacterium. Its description in RNAcentral is "bacterial SSU rRNA". It matches the Rfam family "Bacterial small subunit ribosomal RNA", at positions 30 to 493 of the family's 1533-position model. The record is from RNAcentral.